This 195-nucleotide ribosomal RNA is filed under the name uncultured bacterium. RNAcentral's name for it is "partial 16S ribosomal RNA". It matches the Rfam family "Bacterial small subunit ribosomal RNA", at positions 338 to 524 of the family's 1533-position model. The record is from RNAcentral.
CCUACGGGAGGCAGCAGUAGGGAAUUUUCGGCAAUGGGCGCAAGCCUGACCGAGCAACGCCGCGUGAACGAUGAAGGUCUUAUGGAUUGUAAAGUUCUGUUACGAGGGAAGAACAGCACUGAUAGGAAAUGAUCAGUGUGUGACGGUACCUCGCCAGAAAGCCACGGCUAACUACGUGCCAGCAGCCGCGGUAAU